This 777-nucleotide ribosomal RNA is filed under the name Brephallus tramlapensis. RNAcentral's name for it is "12S ribosomal RNA". The record is from RNAcentral. Lineage: Eukaryota; Metazoa; Arthropoda; Insecta; Blattodea; Blaberidae.
AGUUUUAUUCUUGCUAAAAUAUUUAUUGUGAAGAAGAAUUAUAUGCAAUUUAUUGGAAAUUAUUAAGUCUGAAUGGUUUAAUAACAUUAUUUGCAGUAAAUAAUAUUAAUAAUUAAGGAAACUUUGAGUUAGUUAUCUUUAUUAAGUAUUGAUAAAAUAUGUGCCAGCAGUCGCGGUUAAACAUAAGAUAUUAGUAAAUGUUAUUAGUUAAUUAGUUAUUAUAAUCAUUAUAUAAUUUAUUUUAAUUACUUUUAGGUGAAAUUUAAUUUUUUUUUAUGAAUUAUAAUUGAUAUUAAGAGGCUAUGAAAUCUAAUUAUUUAGACUAGGAUUAGAUACCCUAUUAUUUUGGAUUUAAAUUUUUAACUUGAGUAGUAUUAGUUAUGAUCUUGAAACUUAAAGAAUUUGGCGGUAUUUUAGUCUAUUUAGAGGAAUCUGUCCCAUUAUCGAUAAUCCGCGUUGGACCUUACUUAAUUUUAUGAUAUGUAUACCGCCGUUUAGUUGAAAAUCUUAUUAGGGUAAAUUUUCUGAAUAUUUUAAUUUAUUAUAUUUCAGGUCAAGGUGCAGUUUUAAUAAUUAAGAGGAGAUGGAUUACAAUAUAUUUAUAUACGGAAUAUAAUUUGUAAUAGUUUAUAUAAAGGUGGAUUUAAUAGUAAUUUUAAUAAGAUUAUUAAGAUAAUUUAAGCUCUAGGAUGUGUACACAUCGCCCGUCGCUCUCGUAAAUUAAGGUGAGAUAAGUCGUAACAAAGUAGGUGUACCGGAAGGUGUAGCUAGAAUGAU